AUUCUACUCUAAGCUUAGCAGCUGGAAAAAGGGGAGACAUUUGCUCACGACCGGAGAAGAGGUAUCCCCAACGUUGACCGUCUUUUUUCGGACAGCAGAAACAGGUCCAGUUUGACUCUGACAAUCUUCCCGCUAAGGUAGGUGUGAGCCCUUUCCCGGCCUGAGACGGAGAUUUGGGGGGCUUUGGCCUGGAGCCCAGGGAGGGCGGGCAUCCUAAACCCGCUCGUCUGGUUCUGCAGCCCCUCCCCCCCCCACAGAUGUGUGGGAUCGUGUGUGUGAAAUCGACUGCCUGCUGGGCCUGCUUGGUCCAUCCAUCCCCGCCUGUCAGCUUCUGUUGUCAGGAGUUUGGGGCGUGCAAUUCUCUGCCGUAUUUAGCAGCAUAGGAGAGGCUGCACUUGCAAGUAUUUCCCAGUUGUGUGUUUUGUGGUGGGGGGAGGGCCCUGAAUGCCUCUUCUGAAAGGCACAGUCGGCUGCCAGGAAACCCGGCUGAGCACUGGCCCUCCCUUCCGGCCCUCAGUGGGGCGUGUGGGGUGACUGUAUGAGCUGGCCUCUUCUCUGAUGUCUGGCUGCUAGGGAGGUGAACAACAGAAGAACCUGAGAUCUGGGCCAGCUUCCUUUAAGAAAGAGGCCUCAUGACUCUUCCCUUUCCAGGGAAUUCCCAUAAUUCUGUUUCAUCCCCUGCCCCCCAAAAAAGCCCUAUUUCUAGAAUUGGACAAACCCAGAUUUGAAACCGGGCUAGCCAUUUUACCUAUGACCUCACGUAAGUUGCAGUCUCUGAGCCCAAGUUUCCUUCUUUGCACAAAUGGGAUAGUGAUUCUUGAAGUCGAGUGUGCAUCCAAUUCAUGAGAAUCAGCUCCAAGGCCUGGUCCCCAAGUUUCUGAUUCAAUAGGUGGGGUCUGAGAACUUGCAAUUCUAACAAGUUCCCAGGUGAUGCUGAAGCUGUGCUGUGGAGACACAUUUUGAGGACCUUUGAGCUAGGUGACACCUUGAAGCCCCCAAGCUCAUUGGCUUGGGGCAGAGUGGUCUGUUUUGUGGUAACAGUCACCGCCUCCUUAUUCUCCUAACACAAGCCGACUGUGUACAGUUUCCCAUCCUCUUUAUCUCCAGGAAGCGCCACAGCUGGAGAUAGUACGGCCCUUGAUCUCUGACCCCUUCUCUCUGAUUACCUUGGUGAACCAUUUGGGUCCGGGUGCUGCCAAUUGCACUCCUCCCCCAUUUGGGCCCAGGCUUGGCUUCCAAGUCUGAUCAGCCCUGUUCUCUUUAACCCCACCCCUCAGCGUAGGGGCUAAACUGUGUAUUGGGGGAGCCAUAGGGCUUGAUCUGGAGAUUCCAUUGGGGGCAUCUUGGUGCUUAACGAAGGGAGGCUCUAGGUUCGGCAGCUGUGGGCUUGACUCUCCGCUGUGCUGGUGACCUUGGGCGAGUCCCCUGUGUAAAGCGAUGAUAAUGAAGUCUGUUGUAAAGGGUGGAGGAUUAAGUGCGAUUAAGGGAGCUGGCCUCACGUUCAGGCUUCACUCUAGUUGGCUUCCAUUCGGUGUGGCUGGUGGGGGCUGGACUUCUUUCAAGCUCCUCCCUGACCUGCCCACCCCAAGCACGUGGCAAUGCCUCAGGGCAAAGGGGAAGAUUGACUUUACAGGCUGGGAGCCAGCCCGGUUUUUCCCUCUAGUAUCUGAGUUGGGAAGGUGGCCUUUCCCCAUUUUCACAGGCUGUUCCAUGAGAGGUCAUGAUUUGGGGUCCCCCCCACCCGGAGAGUAGAAGUGACUCACCCAAGGUCACGAGGCCACCACUGGCAGGCAGCCAGGAUGGGAUUCCAGGUGUCUUGACUUCCAGCCCAGUGCCUGUGUCCAUGGUCCCGCUCAGCCCAGCUGUCUAAGUUAUUUUGGGCUCCCUCUCAUGCCAGCUGUCUGCUGGCAUCACUGCCCAAGAGCUGGAAAAGCUAUCUGGUUGAAAGUAACCAGUGUGGUGCUUUUGGCUCCUUCUUGCCGGCCAUGCCUUGGCUCCAUGGAGGUCUCCAGUCCCAGAUAAGCUGGGUUUGGUAUCCUGUCCUUUGCUGGGGGGUAAGGGGUACAGCCCACCGGACUCCCUCCCUCUACCCAGUGUGAGCACUUUGUAAAAGCAGGUGAGGCUCACAUAAUAAUGAGCCCCAUGAGCCUCUUCCCUCCUUCCACACUUGCCUCAAUCCUGCAGUUUAACUUCGGCUCUGCCAUUGACGAGUUCAUUCAACCCCCUGGAUCUGCCCCUCUUGACUUCUGCCACCUGAGGUUGUCCUGCAUCCCUUCUUAAAGAGUCUUUAGGGCUCUGUAGGGUAGGAGUCUGCCUACUCUGGGCACUGGACAGUUAAAGUGAUUUCCCUCCCAGCAGCAGCCUGAAGGGCUACAGCCAGUUUCUCUACUCCCGUUUCUCCACUCCCGCCCUCAGACCAAUUAGGGAGCAAUUAGGUGCUCAGCUGUGGUCUGGGUGUUUCCUGGAAGGGAGCGAUGCCCCCACAACCUGCACCACCUUCCUGCUUCCUUUCCUCUUUCACCCCCUCUUUUUGAUUUCUUUGUCCCCCACGCCAGUAUCACCUCUGUGGAGAGAGGGGCGGGGCAGCCUAUCUGUCCUCUUUGGGCCCAGAGGGUGGCUCCGCCCUGAUCACCCAGUGAGCUCGGGGCGGGGCUGCUCCUGGCGCCCAGCUGGUGGAGCCUGCCCUGAGAGGGCCACGCCAGCGGAAGGGCUGGGGAGGUGGCUGGACCUGCCUUACGACUGGCCGCCUGGGUCCCGCCCCUUCCGGCCCAUCUUCCGUGGCCUGGAAUCCGACCUUUUGGACCCUGUGUGUGGAGACUCAGCCUCUGCCUGGACUGUGGAGAUGGGCAGCCCGCCAUCUCAGAGGCCGCCUGGGUCCAGUAUUGUCUCCAGCUGGUUGGUGACCUAGGCAGUUUCCCACCCCUCCAGGAGUCAUGGUCUCCCCCAUGUUAGCCAGGAAGAGGGAGUUGCUGGAUAACCUUUUAGCUGUUUCCCAGUAUGGCUUUGUGCAGGCAGCUUUUUGUACUCCAGCAGUGACUCCCCGACCCCACCACCAAGUGCUGAGGCCUGGAGGGAAUCUUGGAACAGGGAUAGAUAACCUUGACAGCACUCCCUGCCAGGGCCACCUCCCAUCUCUGGGACCUCAAGGAAGGUUCAGUCUCUGUCUCACAUGAGGUGGAUGAUAUCCCAGAGUGUUCUGAUGCUCCUGGGAAGCAGAAGCCUCAAGCAUUGAUGUUGAUUUCCCCAUCCUAACUUAUACUGGCCAGACUUUGCCCUGACAAGACAGAAGUGGACCUGCCCAUAAUAGAGCCCAGGCCUAAAUUUAUUUGUUCAUUCCCAUAAAUGUCACCUGCCAGCUCUCCUAGGCUUCUGUGUCUAAAUAGCUCUGUGGCAAGCUCGAAUUUAAAGAUGCUUUCUUACCCUCCUAAAUCUCUCCAGGAAUUCCUGGUGAAUAGAGGAAUGACACCGGUCCUCAGAACAUCUCGCAGGUAAGAGAACAGGGCUUCCAGAAUGUGUGGGCGUUCCCAGUGCCUCAGCUGGCCUGUCUGGCCCAGCGCCUCUGUGGAAGCUCUGAGCAGUUGGCCUGGCUGCUGGAUAUUUUUAGCUACAGAUCCAGCCCCUACACCACCACAGGAGCCAGGUCCAAAUCCAACAUGCUCCAGGCCGGGUGGGGUUGGGGCUCUGCCAGCCUCUUGGCCAGGCAGGGGUGGGUGGGCAGGCUGGGCCCAGCAUCAGCUGUCCUGCCUGGACCUGGGCCGGGCUGAGAAGACUCACUUUUCUUCUUCCUUUCUCUUGGUUUUGUGUAAGUCAUUUGUUCUGGCAUAAGUUGAAAUCUAUUUCUCAAGACGGGAAAAAUGGAAACUGAGAUCUGAGGAUUUUGAGGAAAGUCAAGAGCCUUCCCCUCCCCCCACAGGCUGGAGUGAAUGACACAGUUUGCUCAGAGUGGGUGACCCUUCUAAGUGAAAUCUCCCAAGGUUCCUCCAGGUGAGGCAGUCUUACUCUCCCAGCCACUCCCUGAGCUUCGGGGUCCCUGAUGCGGGGCAAGCCUGAGGCAGCCAAAGGGAAGAGGCUUGUGCCUGGCUCAAAGGUAAGUGCUUCCCCCGCUCCCUCCAAGCCCUCUUCCAUCCUCUCCCUCCCUAAGUGAUGCCCCCCCCCUCCGCUCCAGUGGUCCUGAGGAAUCUCACUUCUGACAUGUAUUUGGACCUGUUUCCCUCCUCUUUUGCUAGCUUCCAGCUGCCACUGUGCACCCCAGCCCUGUCCCAGCCUCACCAGCCAAUCACAGCUCCUCCCUGGUCAUGGGAAAAGCUUUGUCUGGGCUCCUCUCCUGUUAAGAGCCUCUGUCCAGCACCCCUCUUGAGCCUGGCAACCAGGCCUCCACGAUCUAACCCUGGUUACUAACUUGACAAUCAUGUCUGGCCUCCCUCACUCCCCAGCCACUGCCAAACCUGAUAUGAUGUCUAGCCACCAUACACUUACCCAGGCUGGGUACCCAUCCUACUUCUGCUGGCCUUUCCUGCCAGCACUGACAAGCUUGGUUCAUGUGCUGCCUGCCUCUCAACCUUCUCUGAACCCUAGAGGCUCUGGUGUCUAAAUUGUUCACAUCUCAGAACGCUUCCCCCAAGACUGAGUUCCUCAGAGGCAGGAACACAAUUCCCUCUCAAUAAACUUGUGCUG
RNAcentral lists this long non-coding RNA (4674 nucleotides) under Sus scrofa (pig). RNAcentral's name for it is "lncRNA (ENSSSCG00000063011.1)". The record is from RNAcentral. Lineage: Eukaryota; Metazoa; Chordata; Mammalia; Artiodactyla; Suidae.